UCCCCGAUAGUCUAGUGGUGAGGAUAUCUGCUUGUCAUUGAAGAUCCAACGAUUCGCAGGGGACCGGGGUUCAAUUCCCCGUCGAGGAG
This 89-nucleotide transfer RNA is filed under the name Colletotrichum acutatum. RNAcentral's name for it is "tRNA-Asp". It matches the Rfam family "tRNA". From Rfam's summary of the family: Transfer RNA (tRNA) molecules are approximately 80 nucleotides in length. Lineage: Eukaryota; Fungi; Ascomycota; Sordariomycetes; Glomerellales; Glomerellaceae. The record is from RNAcentral.